Molecule: small RNA, 83 nt
Filed under: Flavobacterium xueshanense
Lineage: Bacteria; Pseudomonadati; Bacteroidota; Flavobacteriia; Flavobacteriales; Flavobacteriaceae
Description: Flavo-1 RNA
Rfam family: Flavo-1 RNA
Source: RNAcentral
UUGCGUUAAGGAUGGAAGUGGAAAUCCUUUUUAUUUUUUAUUUCAAAAAAUAAAAAGAUUGAGAACGGACAGCCUGACCCGCU